Molecule: ribosomal RNA, 907 nt
Filed under: Arachnopeziza aurelia
Lineage: Eukaryota; Fungi; Ascomycota; Leotiomycetes; Helotiales; Arachnopezizaceae
Description: LSU rRNA
Rfam family: Eukaryotic large subunit ribosomal RNA
Source: RNAcentral
UAGCAUAUCAAUAAGCGGAGGAAAAGAAACCAACAGGGAUUACCUCAGUAACGGCGAGUGAAGCGGUAACAGCUCAAAUUUGAAAUCUGGCUCUCGGGCCCGAGUUGUAAUUUGUAGAAGAUGCUUUGGGUGUGGCUCCGGUCUAAGUUCCUUGGAACAGGACGUCAUAGAGGGUGAGAAUCCCGUAUGUGACUGGUCGCCUUCGCCCGUGUAAAGCUCUUUCGACGAGUCGAGUUGUUUGGGAAUGCAGCUCAAAAUGGGUGGUAUAUUUCAUCUAAAGCUAAAUAUUGGCCAGAGACCGAUAGCGCACAAGUAGAGUGAUCGAAAGAUGAAAAGCACUUUGGAAAGAGAGUUAAACAGUACGUGAAAUUGUUGAAAGGGAAGCGCUUGCAACCAGACUUGCAGGCUGUUGAUCAUCCGGGGUUCUCCCCGGUGCACUCGGCAGUUUUCAGGCCAGCAUCGGUUUGAGUGGUGGGAUAAAGGCCUUGGGAAUGUGGCUCUCUUCGGGGAGUGUUAUAGCCCAAGGUGCAAUGCCGCCUACUUGGACCGAGGACCGCGCUUCGGCUAGGAUGCUGGCGUAAUGGUUGUAAGCGACCCGUCUUGAAACACGGACCAAGGAGUCUAACAUCUAUGCGAGUGUUUGGGUGUCAAACCCAUACGCGUAAUUAACGUGAACGGAGGUAAGAACCCUUAAGGGUGCAUUAUCGACCGAUCCUGAUGUCUUCGGAUGGAUUUGAGUAAGAGCAUAGCUGUUGGGACCCGAAAGAUGGUGAACUAUGCCUGAAUAGGGUGAAGCCAGAGGAAACUCUGGUGGAGGCUCGCAGCGGUUCUGACGUGCAAAUCGAUCGUCAAAUUUGGGUAUAGGGGCGAAAGACUAAUCGAACCAUCUAGUAGCUGGUUCCUGCGA